This 468-nucleotide ribosomal RNA is filed under the name uncultured bacterium. RNAcentral's name for it is "partial 16S ribosomal RNA". It matches the Rfam family "Bacterial small subunit ribosomal RNA", at positions 28 to 507 of the family's 1533-position model. The record is from RNAcentral.
GACGAACGCUGGCGGCGUGCUUAACACAUGCAAGUCGAACGGAAAGGCCCUGCUUUUGUGGGGUGCUCGAGUGGCGAACGGGUGAGUAAUACGUGAGUAACCUGCCCUUGACUUUGGGAUAACUUCAGGAAACUGGGGCUAAUACCGGAUAGGAGCUCCUGCUGCAUGGUGGGGGUUGGAAAGUUUCGGCGGUUGGGGAUGGACUCGCGGCUUAUCAGCUUGUUGGUGGGGUAGUGGCUUACCAAGGCUUUGACGGGUAGCCGGCCUGAGAGGGUGACCGGCCACAUUGGGACUGAGAUACGGCCAAGACUCCUACGGGAGGCAGCAGUGGGGAAUAUUGCACAAUGGGCGGAAGCCUGAUGCAGCAACGCCGCGUGCGGGAUGACGGCCUUCGGGUUGUAAACCGCUUUCGCCUGUGACGAAGCGUGAGUGACGGUAAUGGGUAAAGAAGCACCGGCUAACUACGUG